RNAcentral lists this ribosomal RNA (468 nucleotides) under uncultured bacterium. RNAcentral's name for it is "partial 16S ribosomal RNA". It matches the Rfam family "Bacterial small subunit ribosomal RNA", at positions 28 to 507 of the family's 1533-position model. The record is from RNAcentral.
GACGAACGCUGGCGGCGUGCUUAACACAUGCAAGUCGAACGGAAAGGCCCUGCUUUUGUGGGGUGCUCGAGUGGCGAACGGGUGAGUAACACGUGAGUAACCUGCCCUUGACUUUGGGAUAACUUCAGGAAACUGGGGCUAAUACCGGAUAGGAGCUCCUGCUGCAUGGUGGGGGUUGGAAAGUUUCGGCGGUUGGGGAUGGACUCGCGGCUUAUCAGCUUGUUGGUGGGGUAGUGGCUUACCAAGGCUUUGACGGGUAGCCGGCCCGAGAGGGUGACCGGCCACAUUGGGACUGAGAUACGGCCCAGACUCCUACGGGGGGCAGCAGUGGGGAAUAUUGCACAAUGGGCGGAAGCCUGAUGCAGCAACGCCGCGUGCGGGAUGACGGCCUUCGGGUUGUAAACCGCUUUCGCCUGUGACGAAGCGUGAGUGACGGUAAUGGGUAAAGAAGCACCGGCUAACUACGUG